Molecule: small RNA, 548 nt
Filed under: Pongo abelii (Sumatran orangutan)
Lineage: Eukaryota; Metazoa; Chordata; Mammalia; Primates; Hominidae
Description: processed transcript
Source: RNAcentral
AUUCUGGCUGUGAGGCGUCCAGCUGGGCUCCUACUAACCACCCUUGCACCCGAGGCCCCUCCCGAUGCAGCCAGGCCUGGACCUCACUUACCCCAUUGGUGCAUAGCCUGGGAUGGGUUCUUCUCCAGGGACGCUUGGCGGAUGACAGCAAAGUGGGCCCCGAAGUAGGAGGCCCCUGGCUCAACAAUGCCACCUGCAGCUGCCCAGCCCUCCGCCCAUGGUGCCCUUGUUCCACCUGCUGCCGCUUAUGAACCUGUGGAUCACCCAGCUCUGCACUGGCUUGCCUGCUGCUGCUGUCUCAGUUUACCUGGGCAGUUGCCCCUGGCUAUCCGGCUGGGGUGGGACUUGGGCUUAGAAGCAGGCCCCUCCUCUGGGAAGCUGUGUCCUCGGGCCAGGAGGUGGCAGCCUCUACCUUCCUGAGGCAGGGACCCUUUUUUGUCCAUCAAGGGACAGCUGCAUGAAGACACACAGAGAGAAGGCAGCCAUCCGUAAGCCAGGAAGAGAGCUCUCACUAAGACUGGAAUCAGCAGCACCUUGAUAUCGGACUU